AAGGAGCACAUGGCCGCUUGCAGGCGAAUGUUCUGCACGGUUGCUCAUGGGUGGAACGUUGACUAUUCGGCACAGGAAGAGACCAGGGGCUAGUACUGCUUCGGCGUGGGACGCGUUCUGGGAUUGACUGUGUCGGGCACGUUGUUGGGUCCUGAGGGAACGGAAGUUGCCUCAAGGAUGCCGGCCUCACUUGAGGUAGCCUGGGUUCGGGUUGCCGAGGGUGUGUGACUGGUCGUUG
RNAcentral lists this unclassified non-coding RNA (238 nucleotides) under Kitasatospora aureofaciens. Its description in RNAcentral is "partial 16S-23S ribosomal RNA intergenic spacer". Lineage: Bacteria; Bacillati; Actinomycetota; Actinomycetes; Kitasatosporales; Streptomycetaceae. The record is from RNAcentral.